UACAGAGGUCUCAAGCGUUGUUCGGAUUCAUUGGGCGUAAAGGGUGCGUAGGUGGCGCCGUAAGUCGGGUGUGAAAUUUCGGAGCUUAACUCCGAAACUGCAUUCGAUACUGCGGUGCUUGAGGACUGGAGAGGAGACUGGAAUUCAUGGUGUAGCAGUGAAAUGCGUAGAUAUCAGGAGGAAUACCGAUGGCGAAGGCAGGUCUCUGGGCUGACACUGACGCUCAUGCACGAAAGCGUGGGGAGCAAACAGG
This 253-nucleotide ribosomal RNA is filed under the name uncultured bacterium. RNAcentral's name for it is "partial 16S ribosomal RNA". It matches the Rfam family "Bacterial small subunit ribosomal RNA", at positions 524 to 776 of the family's 1533-position model. The record is from RNAcentral.